Elaeis guineensis (African oil palm) is the source of this 1604-nucleotide non-coding RNA. The record is from RefSeq and is a predicted model, not a curated record. NCBI's taxonomy places the organism in Eukaryota, Viridiplantae, Streptophyta, Magnoliopsida, Arecales, Arecaceae.
UGCCUACCGGGCGGCAAAGGGGGUCGGCAAGAUGGAACGUUCGGUUGCUUUUGUGUAACACUAUCGUCGGGAAAGAGGGUGCCAGAAGGGAGUGGCGCGCAUAACCUUUUCUCAGCUUAAUUAUUACGCACGGUUGAGGGAAUUUGUCCCCCAAGAUUAAAAUCCUCCGCCGAGCAUCUCCUCUCUCUCGCGCUGCUGUGCUAUUCCGCAAGUCUCUCUCGCUGGAAAUGGAAACGGCGUCUUCCUCCACCGCCGUGCCGGGACGCGCCAACGCCCCCGCAACCAUCCACCGCAGUCGGAUCCUCUCCAGCAAGCUAUACUUCGAUGUGCCCUCCUCCAAGGUUCCGUUGAUCUACUCGACUUCCUACGACAUAGCAUUUGCUGGAAUUGAGAAGCUGCAUCCUUUUGAUUCUUCAAAAUGGGGUCGUAUUUGCAAGUUUCUGAUUAAAGAAGGUGUUUUAGAGUGGGUUCGAAUCGUAGAACCAUUAGAAGCUUCAAAAGAUGAUUUGCUUGUGGUUCAUUCGGAAGCAUACCUGAGCAGUCUUAAAAGCAGUUUAACGGUUUCCAUUAUUGUCGAGGUACCCCCUGUUGCAAUCCUUCCAAACUGUCUUGUGCAGCAGAAAGUGCUGUUCCCAUUCCGCAAACAGGUUGGUGGUUCAAUCUUGGCAGCUAAACUUGCGAUAGAGCGAGGAUGGGCCAUUAAUGUUGGUGGGGGAUUCCACCAUUGUUCAGCAGAGAAAGGAGGUGGAUUUUGUGCAUAUGCUGACAUUUCUCUUUGUAUUCACUUUGCCUUUGUUCGUUUGAAUAUUUCGAGGGUAAUGAUUAUUGACCUUGAUGCUCACCAAGGAAAUGGCCAUGAAAUAGACUUCUCUAACGACAGAAGAGUUUAUAUUUUGGACAUCUACAACUCUGGAAUAUAUCCUUUUGAUCUGGAGGCUAGGAGAUACAUUGACCAGAAAGUUGAAUUACUAGUUGAUAGAGUGGGACUAAAACAAAUGAGUAUUUGGAGCAAUUGGAUAAAGCACUCAAGGUUGCGAGAAAUAACUUCAAUCCUGAGUUGGUUGUGUACAAUGCUGGCACUGAUAUUCUCGAUGGAGAUCCCUUGGGCAGAUUGAAGGUCAGUCCUGAGGGAGUUUCAAUCAGAGAUGAAAAGGUAUUCAGAUUUGCAAGGGAAAGAAACAUUCCUCUUCUAAUGCUUACAUCAGGUGGCUAUAUGAAGUCAAGUGCUCGAGUUAUUGCAGAUUCAAUUAUCAACCUUUCAAAGAAAAAACUGAUAGAUUUGGAUAGCUCUCUUAGCAGAAAAUAAUGGUAGAUGUUUCUUCACUAAAAUGUAUAUCAUGAGAAAAGAAUGAUGAUCACAUGCGACAGCAAUGAUGUGUGAACAUGCAUAUCUGUAUAGAUAUAUCCAGAUGUUAACAUAGUUCACGUGUAAAUUAUUGACAAUCUUCACCGUUAUUGUACUAAAGUGGUGCAUAUGUCAAGUAGAUGUGGCUAUUGGAGGACUAUAUUAUCUUAGUGAUAUCAUCAAAUGAUACCAUGACAACACGCCCUUACUCAUUUUGUACAGUGUAUUUUUAUAGUGGAAGAAGCUUUCAAUCUAUGUA